Molecule: long non-coding RNA, 1511 nt
Organism: Canis lupus familiaris (dog)
Lineage: Eukaryota; Metazoa; Chordata; Mammalia; Carnivora; Canidae
Exons: 4
Source: RefSeq, a predicted model, not a curated record
UCUGUUGGAGGCUUACAAUUGCCAAGGGAAGGCUGAGACAGUAAAUUCUGGUUAAUUUCUGACACUUUAAGCUUUUACACAUUAGCACCUACCCAUUCGCCAUCCCAGCCACAUGGCAGGCAGCCAGGCAUAUUUUCCUGAAAGGGGAGUGAAGGAUCUUCAGCAAGCUCUACAUUUUUCCCUGAUGCUCCCAGAAAAGUCUAGUUUUGUUUGGGGAUUAUCCAUGAGAAAUUUGAAGAAAGGACAUCUUCUAUAUGAGUGACAAACAUCAGUAAAAAGGUCUGCUCGCCCUCUCUGCGAACUUCAGACUCAAGAAUAUAAACAUCAAUGCUUCAAUGAAUUUCCAGCCUGCCAGCUUACCCUGUGGAUUUCAGACUCUCCAGCCCUCAUAAUCUUGUCAGCCAAUUCUUUAAAAUAUCUCUGUCUCUCUGUCUCUCUUGUACACACAUACUCUCUAGGGAAACCUGACUAAUACAGUAACUUCAUUUUCGAUUAGCGAUGAAGUUCAGAAAAUUCAUAUUUUCCCAAAAAGCCAAAUGACGCUUCCCAAGAGCUGAAGGUGGAUUCUUCUCUUUGAAAUCCCUUUCAUAGGCUGUCAACUAAUGCCUCAAAUCAUAUUUAAGUCAGAGAUAAAGCACAUAUUUUCUUAUUUGCUCAUAACCUUCCCCAAAUGCAUUGCUAAACAUUCUUUCUCUGGAGUCAAACGAUAUUCUGCAGCAUAUAAAUGGAAGGAACUCAUGGACACAGGUGUCUUCCGGCCCCCACCCUUCUAAAGUUCCAAGGUUGUGUGUGGGGUUAAUAACCAUUAUGAUGAGGUGGGAGGUCCCCCCCAUAGUGUCUCCAUAGCAACCAGUCCAGCUACAUCCAACAUUAGCUGUUGAAACACAAUGGGUCCGCCAAAACCUGACCAGGAAAAAGUUUACAUCAAACCUAUUGUCCUGGGGCAACUGGACGACUCAGUCAGUUAAGCGUCUGACUUCAGCUCAGGUCAUGAUCCUGGGGUCCUGAGAUCAAGCCCCAAGUCAAGCUCCCCACUCAGCAGGGAGUCUGCUUGUCCCUCUGUCCCUCCCCCCACUUGUUCACUCUCACUCUCUCUCUCAAACAAAUAAAUAAAAUAUUUUAAAAAAAACAUAUAGUCCUGGCUGCUCAAGAAAAGGAUACACUUUCCUCAUAAACUUGCUUUGCUUGGGGCAUACCAGAAGAGAGGAAAUGAAAACACUUGAAAUAAUGUCUGUUACAAUUAAUAAUCUAAUGAAGACUCAUACAUAAAAUUGCAUGUGGAUAUGUGUGUAUUUAUAUUAUGCUGUUUUGUAUUGCAGAGUACAUAUUCUUUAAUUCCUCUGAAUGAAAACGCACAGCAGGCCACUCUAGGGCCUGUUUCUGCCCUGACAGAUAAAUCAAGUUCCUGGUCCUAAUUAACAUCAAAAGCCUAUGGCUCAGGGGCACCUGGGUAGCUCAAUCAGUUACGUGUCUGCCUUCUGCUCAGGUCAUGACUCAGGGUCUCAGGAUUG